Molecule: ribosomal RNA, 441 nt
Filed under: uncultured bacterium
Lineage: Bacteria
Description: partial 16S ribosomal RNA
Rfam family: Bacterial small subunit ribosomal RNA
Source: RNAcentral
CUACGGGUUGCACCAGUCGAGAAUCUUCCGCAAUGGGCGCAAGCCUGACGGAGCAAUGCCGCGUGAGGGAUGACGGCCCUAGGGUUGUAAACCUCUGUCAGAAGGGACGAAGAACGUGACGGUACCUUCAGAGGAAGCCAUGGCUAACUACGUGCCAGCAGCCGCGGUAAUACGUAGAUGGCGAGCGUUAUUCGGAUUUACUGGGCGUAAAGGGUCCGUAGGGGGUCUGCCAAGUCUGAUGUGAAAUCCUGCGGCUCAACCGCGGAACUGCAUUGGAAACUGGCGGACUAGAGUGUGGAGGGGUGAGCGGAAUUCCUGGUGUAGCGGUGGAAUGCGUAGAUAUCAGGAAGAACACCGAUGGCGAAGGCGGCUCACUGGCGCAUCACUGACCCUGAGGGACGAAAGCGUGGGUAGCAAACAGGAUUAGAUACCCCUGUAGUU